This 501-nucleotide ribosomal RNA is filed under the name uncultured bacterium. RNAcentral describes it as "partial 16S ribosomal RNA". It matches the Rfam family "Bacterial small subunit ribosomal RNA", at positions 30 to 523 of the family's 1533-position model. The record is from RNAcentral.
AUUGAACGCUGGCGGCAGGCUUAACACAUGCAAGUCGAGCGGGGGAAGGUAGCUUGCUACCGGACCUAGCGGCGGACGGGUGAGUAAUGCUUAGGAAUCUGCCUAUUAGUGGGGGACAACAUCUCGAAAGGGAUGCUAAUACCGCAUACGUCCUACGGGAGAAAGCAGGGGAUCUUCGGACCUUGCGCUAAUAGAUGAGCCUAAGUCGGAUUAGCUAGUUGGUGGGGUAAAGGCCUACCAAGGCGACGAUCUGUAGCGGGUCUGAGAGGAUGAUCCGCCAAACUGGGACUGAGACACGGCCCAGACUCCUACGGGAGGCAGCAGUGGGGAAUAUUGGAAAAUGGGGGGAACCCUGAUCCAGCCAUGCCGCGUGUGUGAAGAAGGCCUUAUGGUUGUAAAGCACUUUAAGCGAGGAGGAGGCUACUUUAGUUAAUACCUAGAGAUAGUGGACGUUACUCGCAGAAUAAGCACCGGCUAACUCUGUGCCAGCCGCCGCGGUAA